AUGCAGAACUACAGCAAGCUCAACAAGUUGCCCACAAUCGUUGAAGAGGACGAAACAGACAGGGGCGACGGGUAUAAUGGCCCUACUUUCAGAUGUUCAGUUCAGAAGAUGUACUCUGUUAUUUCGCAGUUUGACCAGCAGAAACGAGAAAUUGUUAACUCUAUGGGUUGGGGUGGCACUCUAUCCAUGCCUCUCAUCAGCAACCUAAGCGUCAGGCAUAUGGUCUGGCUUCUGGGGAUGGUGGAUGAGGUCAGACAAGCCAUUGUACUGGGACCGAAUAAGGUUUUUAAGUUCAAUGAGAGUGAUGUUGAGAAGGUAUUCGGAAUCCCGGCAGCUGGAACAGAUGUCAUGGACAGAACUCUUGAUAGGAGUGACACUGUAUAUGCAUACUUGCGUGGUCGUUUGGGGAUAGAGAACAAGGAAGUAAGAAGUCUGAAGAGCAUACAGUCCAUACUGUCAUGUGACUACAAGGGGAAGAUGUCACAAACAGAGGUGGCUGCAUUCAAAACUGCGUACAUCGUAUUCAUGAUGACACAUGUAUUUGCACCGACAGUCAAGAAUGACUACUUCUACACUGAUUAUUGGCCAGCACUGGUCGACCCAGAUAGCUUGGAUAAGUUCAAUUGGGGAAGAUAUAUUGUUGAAGUAGUGUGUGCAGCCGCCGUUAAGAUGAAACAAGAUAUUCGCAGGAAAGCGACGGUGUCGAACAUAAUAGGAUGCCUGCUCUUCCUACAGGUUUUAUAUCUAGACAACAUUCAGUUGGGGGACUUAAGCAUGACACAUGAUGUGUUCCCCAGAAUUAAAGCUUUCACCGUGGAUAAAAUUAGAGCCAUGAUUAAUGCCGACAAAAGGCCAAUGGAUUCAUCGAAAAACGGAGAUUUCAUUUAUGGAAUUUCAGCACCACGGGAUGCUGAUAGUUCAGCAUAUUCUAGGGCAGAUGACGAAGAUAAUGCGCAACAAGGGGGGGAUGCUUGGGCAUGCGCAACCAAGAUUUGUGAUGCUAUGGGCUUGACGCAUCAGGCCAAACUUAACCUAUAUAAUGAGCUGACAGCACACCAAGAGGACAUCAUUAAACAGGUUGAAGUUAUGAAUGCAAAAUUUUAUGAGAAGAUAUACAGAAUGUUAAAUGACAACAGCUUUACACGUAAUAAGGGUGUGAUGCAUGCAUCCGGGUUGACGAAUGUAAGUAGAGACAACAAUGCCACGAAAUCUUCAACAGUGGAGGCUGAUAUGGCUUCUGAUGAUGUGAGCAGCCCAGAAAAGAGGAACGAUGAAGCUUUCGUUAUCCAUAUGCAAAAUAAACGCCCUCGUGUGGAUAUCGAUGCAACAAGCAACGCAGUAGCAUCACAACAUGGUGGGGGGAUGAGAUCUAAUUCUGAGAUGGAUGUCGAUCUCAAUGUGGCCGACCUGCUGGCUAGUACGCUUGAGGGGAACACAAUGGAUGUUAGGAAUCAUGUGAACACGGUUUGCUGGGACAAUGAGCCGAGUUUUGAUUUAGGUCUGGAUUUCACACCGUCAUCAAAGGUGGGCAAGAACAAGAGUUUCAGCUGUAGAUAUCAAGACGGUGGUUGUGCUUUAUUCGGAAAUAUAUCUGAUGGGGAUGUUGCUGACAUUAACAACGGAUCUCAAGGUGUUACAUCAUCAUGCGAAUCGUGGCGAAAUGAUGGCAUCACGGGUGGGAGUAGUGAUGGUCAAGGACCAAAUAAGUCAUCACACACCCCCAGCGCAUGUCCUUCAGACAAUUUGGGCACUCCUGCAAGUUCAGUAGCCGACUCUGUUCCUCCCUACUGGUACCUCAGUGAGCAGACAAGGUCGUCCUCACCGACAUCCGUUGAUAAAAUUAUUCAAGACUAUUUUGUAUUUGAGAAGGACACAAGGUUUACGGACAUUAUUAACCUCAACGCAAAGAUUUUGGAUUUCGACGUCAGCAACUCGCCUGUGGUCAAAAGGAGAACUGUGUCACACACAAACCAUGUGGCAGGGCCAUGCAUCACUGCAUUGGCCAGUCAUGACAAGAAGGUCAUAGACGAUUUUUUCUGCUUCGUAGCAAGUAUGGAAGAAUCACAUGCAGAGAAAUGCGUGUGGAUAAUGCAUCACACACCAAGCUACAUAGAGGUGACCGCAGACCAGCUGAAGAGUUCCUUCUGCGGUAAGGUUGAUGUAGAUCACGACAUUUUUAGCCUUAUGAUUCGGAGACUGAAACAGAUAGAUGAUGGAGCUGCCCAAGGCGGAGAUAUGACCAGAAUAAAACAUUACAUGGAGGCUGAUCUCAUGAUGCGUGUGAUGGCAGGAGAUAUGCGAUGUCAGCAUAAAUCCAUUCGGGAUCAGUUCAUUGGAGAUCACAUCACCUACGACGUACCAAAUUGUAUGCUGAUUAUGUUUCCGGCCUACGUCAGCUUCGCUUGGGUAUGUUACACAAUACAUACAAUUAAAAAGAAGGUGUUCAUCUAUGACCCGUUAGCAUCGGAGAAUGGUGGAGCAAUCAAACAACUACAUAUGAGAAACUGCAACCUGUUGAAGUCUGCUAUGAUUGAGUUUGCAAAAACAUAUUUUGAAUUUUGGGACUUCGGGUUCGGUGACUUAGAACCGGCUAUUAUUCAUCCUAAACGUCAAGUGUCUGAAAGGCACCUAUCUGGGUUUUACACAAUGAACUUCUGCAGGAACUUCAUCGGUGACCAAGAGGCAGAUAAUAUUCAUGUGGACGAUGACAGUUGUAUGGCGGCAUAUUACCUUUACGACAUUCUACAUCUCAAGGGGAACAAUGCAAAGAGGCCACAUCAGUUCAUCGAGUCUAUCGAUGAAUGA
Molecule: ribosomal RNA, 2805 nt
Filed under: Triticum aestivum (bread wheat)
Lineage: Eukaryota; Viridiplantae; Streptophyta; Magnoliopsida; Poales; Poaceae
Description: partial small subunit ribosomal RNA
Source: RNAcentral